This is a ribosomal RNA of Erinaceus europaeus (western European hedgehog), 108 nucleotides long. Lineage: Eukaryota; Metazoa; Chordata; Mammalia; Eulipotyphla; Erinaceidae. The record is from Ensembl.
AUCUACAGCCAUACCACCCAUAACAUGCCCAUCUUGUCUGAUCUUAGAAACUAAGCAGGGUUGGGCCUUGUUAGUACUUGGAUGGGAGAAAUACAAGGCAAUGAGAUA